RNAcentral lists this ribosomal RNA (496 nucleotides) under Ehrlichia canis. RNAcentral describes it as "bacterial SSU rRNA". It matches the Rfam family "Bacterial small subunit ribosomal RNA", at positions 70 to 596 of the family's 1533-position model. The record is from RNAcentral. Lineage: Bacteria; Pseudomonadati; Pseudomonadota; Alphaproteobacteria; Rickettsiales; Anaplasmataceae.
UUUAUAGCCUCUGGCUAUAGGAAAUUGUUAGUGGCAGACGGGUGAGUAAUGCGUAGGAAUCUACCUAGUAGUACGGAAUAGCCAUUAGAAAUGGUGGGUAAUACUGUAUAAUCCCCGAGGGGGAAAGAUUUAUCGCUAUUAGAUGAGCCUACGUUAGAUUAGCUAGUUGGUGAGGUAAUGGCUUACCAAGGCUAUGAUCUAUAGCUGGUCUGAGAGGACGAUCAGCCACACUGGAACUGAGAUACGGUCCAGACUCCUACGGGAGGCAGCAGUGGGGAAUAUUGGACAAUGGGCGAAAGCCUGAUCCAGCUAUGCCGCGUGAGUGAAGAAGGCCUUCGGGUUGUAAAACUCUUUCAAUAGGGAAGAUAAUGACGGUACCUAUAGAAGAAGUCCCGGCAAACUCUGUGCCAGCAGCCGCGGUAAUACGGAGGGGGCAAGCGUUGUUCGGAAUUAUUGGGCGUAAAGGGCACGUAGGUGGACUAGUAAGUUAAAAGUG